This 220-nucleotide ribosomal RNA is filed under the name uncultured Entrophospora. RNAcentral describes it as "uncultured Claroideoglomus partial small subunit ribosomal RNA". It matches the Rfam family "Eukaryotic small subunit ribosomal RNA", at positions 591 to 811 of the family's 1831-position model. The record is from RNAcentral. Lineage: Eukaryota; Fungi; Glomeromycota; Glomeromycetes; Entrophosporales; Entrophosporaceae.
CCAAUAGCGUAUAUUAAAGUUGUUGCAGUUAAAAAGCUCGUAGUUGAAUUUCGGGAUUGACAUGUUGGUCGUGCCUUAAGGGGUAUGAACUGGCAUUGUCGAUUUCUCACCUUCUGGAGAAUCACGAUGCUCUUAAUUGGGUGUCGUGUGGAUCCAGGACCUUUACCUUGAAAAAAUUAGAGUGUUUAAAGCAGGCAUUUUGCUCGAAUACAUUAGCAUG